GACGAACGCUGGCGGCGUGCUUAACACAUGCAAGUCGAACGGAAAGGCCCUGCUUGCAGGGUACUCGAGUGGCGAACGGGUGAGUAACACGUGGGUGAUCUGCCCUGCACUUCGGGAUAAGCCUGGGAAACUGGGUCUAAUACCGGAUAGGAGCCAUUUUUAGUGUGAUGGUUGGAAAGUUUUUUCGGUGUAGGAUGAGCUCGCGGCCUAUCAGCUUGUUGGUGGGGUAAUGGCCUACCAAGGCGGCGACGGGUAGCCGGCCUGAGAGGGUGGACGGCCACAUUGGGAAUGAGAUACGGCCCAGACUCCUAAGGGAGGCAGCAGUGGGGAAUAUUGCACAAUGGGCGCAAGCCUGAUGCAGCGACGCCGCGUGGGGGAUGACGGCCUUCGGGUUGUAAACUCCUUUCGCUAGGGACGAAGCUUUUUGUGACGGUACCUAGAUAAGAAGCACCGGCUAACUACGUG
RNAcentral lists this ribosomal RNA (465 nucleotides) under uncultured bacterium. RNAcentral's name for it is "partial 16S ribosomal RNA". It matches the Rfam family "Bacterial small subunit ribosomal RNA", at positions 28 to 507 of the family's 1533-position model. The record is from RNAcentral.